CUUGCCCCGGGGCGGGCGGGGGAGCAGUGAGCGGAGUUUGGCGGGCGAGGAAGUGGCAGGCACGGGAGGAGAAGCCGCAGGAGCGGGGUGGGGGGCAGCGGAGGGCGGCGGGACCUCGCAGCUUCCCCCGCGGGCUGCUCGCGCCCGCCAGCCCCGGAGCCCCCCUUCCUCCUCCGGCAGCGCUCCGAGCCCUGCCCGCAGCCACGGGCUCUGAACGAAAGCGAAACGUGGGGCUGCCGGCGGCGGGGCGGCGCGGGCAGCGGGCUGGCAACGGGGGAGGGCGGGAGAGGGGGGGAGGCGAAGCGGCAGGAGGCACCGAGAAGUGGCUGGAGUUGGGAGGAUGCGGCGGCGGCGGCUGCAACUUCGCCAAAAGGACCCGGAGCGAGGCGGACGCUGCCGGCACCGGGAGGGAUCAGGUUGCGGUAGAAAUAAGCUCUGGAGGCGAACGGGUGUGCGGAGCAAAGUGCGGCUGCGAAGGGAGUGCGAGGGGGUAACCGUGCCCGGGACGGCGGCGGACAGCCGGAGCGGAGCGCCGGGCGAGAGCCCGGGGGAACGAGGAGCUGCCCGCCGCCGCACGGGGAUGCGCCCCGCGGCUGCCGGGGCAGGGUGCAGGAGCAGAUGCGGGACCUGGCGGGGGGACCCAGCCGCAGGUGACAAGAGCGACGGCUCCUGGGCUCACGGCGCUCGCAAGGCUGGCUGUGCCAGGCGUGCACAUGUCCCUGCGCGAAACGCGGGCGUGUGUGUCUGUGCCGGAGAUGUAGAUAUGUAUAUGGGGCUUGAUUUAUAUCUAAUGGCACGUAUAAAGCUUUUGAAGGUGGCUGCAAUGUAAAAAGUAAUGACUUUAUUACCCCUGAAAGGUUCUGCGGUUCGCAGUUAACACUCCUCUGAAUUACAAUUCAUUACUCUCUCUAAAGCCAACCUGCAUCAGAACACCUACCUGUGCUUAUUCCCAAUCAUAGGCAUCGUUUCAUUGAUUUUCUUUUUUUAAAAUCAUAGCAAAUUAAGCACUUGGUGACAACUAAAUCUGUUUCAUUAUCGUGCCGUGUUUGAGAUUCCAGAGGUGACUUCCCAGACCGCAUCUCAAAACCUACAGUCAGGAGCUAAUUUUACAGAUGCUUUCAUGAAUGGCAGCGAGGAUGUUCUUACCAUCAGCAUGCCCUUAAUUCCAGCACCGUAAAAAUGCCUCGAAUUAAAUGGAAACUCGCUGCCUUAAAAAUAAUAUUUCAUCCUGGCUGGAUAAUUAUUAAUAUUAGCAUUUGAUCGCUAUAGUGCUGGGCUCCCCCUCGUUCCUGUAUCCCCCCCCCCAGCGCUUCGCAUUGUCAUGUGAUUGGAGGGAGAUAACAAACCUCAAGAAAGAAAAGGAGUGAGAAGACAUUUUUAACACGGCAUGACCGCAGAUUAAUAAUGCAGGUGGGUUUUUAUUUCAUUGUAUUUUUAGGGGAAGGGAACGAGGCUGUUUAACGAGCGGUCGUGGACACAAAGUGACUGUAUUUACAGUCCUUGAUGUGGCUUUCGGUGGGUAAUAAAUUAUGACAAUAUUAAAAUUAUUUUCUGGCAACCCAGCUAACUGCGCUGGGGACUGUAAAGCCCCUACUGAUUCCAUUUAUGCCUUGUAAUUGCGGUCCACGGUCUCGCUCUAAACCUUUUGGUGUAUAUUGUGUGUAAACUUUUAGCUAAUAGACUUUUUUUGAAUGGAGGGACUUUUCUCGGUACUUCCUGCCGUAUACAUUUUGUCUCUGAUCUCUGUAUUUAAUGGCCAAGUCCUGGUUUAUGCUUUAUAAUGUGUUGACAAGUUUUCUAACAGACUUUCUGAAAUAAUGCACAUAUAUUCACGUCGGUUAGAAACUCCACAGUAUUUUUAGAGUCGAGUAGAUCUAUAUCCUAAUGCACUGAGAGGGAGUGUAAAUCAUAGAGGAUUUCAUAGCCCUUUCAGUAGUUUUCUGUAUGAAGUAUGAACAGCGUGGCCUCCAGACGUAACCUUUUAGAAAAAAAGACAGUGCUUUUAUUUUAUGGUGUAAAGUGCUUUUAGCUUCAGGGCUCUGAACGUGAAUGUGGUCAACAAACAGCUCUUGCGAGGGAGUUUGCUACAGCCUCAGCCCAGUGCCGGGCGCUGCCUUCGCUAUGGGGAGGAAUGCGGGGCCGCCCCCGGCCGCAGGACCGGGCUGAGCCCCUCGAGACACGGUACCCCCCGCCGGGUCCCCCCGUCAGUGUCCUGGGUUCGGACACCCCGCGGAAAGGAGGGGUCGGAUGGCCCCCGGCGCUGCCGGAGAGGCUGAUGGUGCCAGCAGGGUCAGCCCCCCACGGGGACGGUCCCCGGCGCGUCCGGGCGCAGGGGGGUGAGCUGCCUCUGAGCUGGCCCCGGCACCGGCGGCAAAGGCAGGGCCAGGGGCACAGCUGGGGCUGGGAGCACCCCAGGAGAGCUGUGGAGCAAGGGCGCUGCACCCCGUCACUGCCCCACUGCACCCCACAAGCUGCCCCUCCUGCAUCUCUGCUUCCACCCUGACAGCACCUCUGUGACACACCAAGCAUCUCUAGCCCUGUCUGUACCUCUUGCACACUGCCGUCCCUUGCUGGGUUGUACCAACAAACCCAGUGCAACUGGCAGGUAAACACAGUGAGAAAUGCCCUAAUGCUGACUGCUAACACCCAGAAACACUGGCAGAUUGGAAGGGCAGGUGAAACAAACCCAGGCCAGCGCAGAAGAUGACCCAGUGAUCACAUUCUAUGGAUUGACACAAACUUGUGUCACCUCCUGCUCCUCCGCAACCGUUCUUUGCUCAAGCUGCAGGGGAUGCCUCGCAGUCCUGCUGCAGCGUUUGGAGCUGCUGUCACCCUGGCCAUGUUAUCAGCUGCUCUUCGGCUAUGGACUCCUAGCCCCAGAGCAAAGUCAGCUGGAGGAAAUGUGGCCCUACACCUCAGCAAACUGAGGUACACGCUAAAAUCAGAGCCAUGGUGGGUUUCAGGCUGCCUCCAGGUGGAAGCUAACCUUAGAGAAGGGUCUGUCUCAUUGACUGAGUGCCCAUCUCACCUCAAACUGUCCCAUGUGAACCAGAGCCCUGAGACACCAGCUCGUGCCCUGGAGCAGCUGAGAGCAGGGGUGGGAACCCAUCCCUGUCCCACAACAAUGGCAGUAACCUGCAGCAGCAGGACAGAGUGCCCAGGUGAGAACAUUCAUGCUGUAAAAAUUAGCCUAAGAUUUGAAUCUACCAAAAUGUAUCUGUCCCUUUCCUCAUACCUCAGCUCUCUGCCUGAGAAAGUGUAGUCCUCCCUACAUUCAAGCACGUGAGAUACUUAGAGGUUGCUGUACAAAGGGACGUAAAACUGUCUAACAUUGAGAAGUGUGGCCUUCCUCCGUCUCACAGGCAGGCACACAGGACUGGGACCCAAAGGUGCAAAGGAGUGUGACACAGUUCAUGCCACAUACUGCUGUCCCUGCCUAUCUGCUAAUUCGGUGACAGACUUGGCAGUGGGUGAGUUCAGCAACUUUGGUUGGGCAAAUGUUCCUGCUUCGAAGCUCCAACUGUCACUCACUCAGAGCAGGAAUCUCACUUGCCAACAUUACAGAACAUUAGGACCAAACACAAAUUCCAGAACUCUGCCAGUUCCCCGGAGCUGGGCUGCAUUAUGUAACGGCAGAUCGCACGGGGUGCUUUCCGACACUGUCUUGAUAGUCUCAAUCAGGCGGAGGCAACGUGGGUGGAACUCUUAUCACACCAGGCUGACUCCCGUGAAUGAGCAGAGGACUUGCACGUUCUAGAAAUAGUACAUGCAUUAGUAUUCCCGCAGGAGAAAUUUGGGCGCGCUGCUUUGCCUUUUCUCCUUUCCCCCCCUUUCCCCCCCCUUUUUAAUAAAGGCUCAAAAUAAACUCAGAUUUUGCAAGCUCUUACUAGCAAGCACAGCACACACAGCAGCGAGUCCGUGCAGGAUCACAGACAUCUGAGCGCCAGGUGACAGAAAGAUUUCGUUAUCGGCUCGCCCUAGGCAGGACCUGGAAUAAAACCCUGAACUUGGGGAGACUUUUUUCCAUGGGUUUCAGCAAGGUCUGGGAUUUCAGCCUGCCUCUGCUUGCACAGCACCUAGCACAAUGGAGCCCUGAACCUUGACUGGGCUUUCUGGGGAUGACUAUAAAAUAAAUGGCACAAAGUGCUCACGGAACAGACUUUGAAAUGGCAAAAACCCUCCCUGAAGCACACAAAGAGUUUUGCUUGUGUGUGGGCAGGCAGAGGAAGGCAUCACUAAAAAUCUCAUUUUUAAUCAAAUGUUUGAUUUCAGCCAAACUGGGUUUAGUUUGCACUACUUACUUAGUUAUUUGUCAUAUUGUAGGUUUAAUAUUUAUAAAUCUUUUUAUAAGUAAACACGUAACCUGCCCCUGAGCGUUUCUAUGCUACAUUUCAAGCCAACAUGAUUUAAACUAUGUGCAUUUAAAACCUUCCAGAACCUGACCUAUAAUGCAAAUCCAUACAGUCUUAAUUAUUGCAGCACCAGCAGCCACGGCACGAGUGAGGCAGUUGAGCUUUUGUUACUAAAGAGGCACAGUAGUUAUGGUCUGUCAGUGCUCCUGUUACAAUCCCCACCUUGAAGAGGUUAUAACUUGGGCUGUGUAAAUUUGAUUGAGCUGAAACUUGGGACUCCAACUGUCAGUCCAUAUAGGGAAUUAUCUUAUGAAUAAUUGGCUAACCCAUUGCUUGAUUCACAGACUUUUAUACAAUGAUUUUUAAUGGGUUUUAAUGUUUUUUUCUUUUACUGACAUCUAGGGUAUGAAUUUGGUACUUCUAGCUCUUCUGAAGCUCCAUACUCAGUGGAAUAUGUAUAGAUACCCAAGGUAACGCUACAGCUACCCAGAGGAUUUCACAGGGCACACCUGGCACCCUGACCCACCUGCAUGUUCCUAUACACUGAGAAGAGGCCAGGAACAAGAAAUGACGCUUUAGUUAUCUCCAAAGAGGGUCCAAACUGUGUAAGAUAAAGAGAACAUAAAUAAAUAUCUUUGCUAAUCUU
This is a long non-coding RNA of Corvus hawaiiensis (hawaiian crow), 4998 nucleotides long. RefSeq lists it as uncharacterized. The transcript has 2 exons. Lineage: Eukaryota; Metazoa; Chordata; Aves; Passeriformes; Corvidae. The record is from RefSeq and is a predicted model, not a curated record.